CAGCAGCCGCGGGAAUACGUAGGUGGCAAGCGUUGUCCGGAAUUAUUGGGCGUAAAGGGCUCGCAGGCGGUUUCUUAGGUCUGAUGUGAAAGCCCCCGGCUCAACCGGGGAGGGUCAUUGGAAACUGGGAAACUUGAGUGCAGAAGAGGAGAGUGGAAUUCCACGUGUAGCGGUGAAAUGCGUAGAGAUGUGGAGGAACACCAGUGGCGAAGGCGACUCUCUGGUCUGUAACUGACGCUGAGGAGCGAAAGCGUGGGGAGCGAACAGGAUUAGAUACCCGCGUAGUCCCUGUCUCUUAUAA
RNAcentral lists this ribosomal RNA (301 nucleotides) under uncultured bacterium. RNAcentral's name for it is "partial 16S ribosomal RNA". It matches the Rfam family "Bacterial small subunit ribosomal RNA", at positions 509 to 809 of the family's 1533-position model. The record is from RNAcentral.